UACAGAGGUCCCAAGCGUUGUUCGGAUUCACUGGGCGUAAAGGGUGCGUAGGUGGUGAGGUAAGUCGGAUGUGAAAUCUCCGAGCUCAACUCGGAAAUGGCAUUGGAAACUACCUUGCUCGAGGGUUGGAGGGGGGACUGGAAUGCUUGGUGUAGCAGUGAAAUGCGUAGAUAUCAAGCGGAACACUAGUGGCGAAGGCGAGUCCCUGGACAACUCCUGACACUGAGGCACGAAAGCUAGGGGAGCAAACAGG
RNAcentral lists this ribosomal RNA (253 nucleotides) under uncultured bacterium. RNAcentral's name for it is "partial 16S ribosomal RNA". It matches the Rfam family "Bacterial small subunit ribosomal RNA", at positions 524 to 776 of the family's 1533-position model. The record is from RNAcentral.